AGAGUUUGAUCCUGGCUCAGAUUGAACGCUGGCGGCAGGCCUAACACAUGCAAGUCGAGCGGAUGAAGGGAGCUUGCUCCUGGAUUCAGCGGCGGACGGGUGAGUAAUGCCUAGGAAUCUGCCUGGUAGUGGGGGAUAACGUCCGGAAACGGGCGCUAAUACCGCAUACGUCCUGAGGGAGAAAGUGGGGGAUCUUCGGACCUCACGCUAUCAGAUGAGCCUAGGUCGGAUUAGCUAGUUGGUGGGGUAAAGGCCUACCAAGGCGACGAUCCGUAACUGGUCUGAGAGGAUGAUCAGUCACACUGGAACUGAGACACGGUCCAGACUCCUACGGGAGGCAGCAGUGGGGAAUAUUGGACAAUGGGCGAAAGCCUGAUCCAGCCAUGCCGCGUGUGUGAAGAAGGUCUUCGGAUUGUAAAGCACUUUAAGUUGGGAGGAAGGGCAGUAAGUUAAUACCUUGCUGUUUUGACGUUACCAACAGAAUAAGCACCGGCUAACUUCGUGCCAGCAGCCGCGGUAAUACGAAGGGUGCAAGCGUUAAUCGGAAUUACUGGGCGUAAAGCGCGCGUAGGUGGUUCAGCAAGUUGGAUGUGAAAUCCCCGGGCUCAACCUGGGAACUGCAUCCAAAACUACUGAGCUAGAGUACGGUAGAGGGUGGUGGAAUUUCCUGUGUAGCGGUGAAAUGCGUAGAUAUAGGAAGGAACACCAGUGGCGAAGGCGACCACCUGGACUGAUACUGACACUGAGGUGCGAAAGCGUGGGGAGCAAACAGGAUUAGAUACCCUGGGUAGUCCACGCCGUAAACGAUGUCGACUAGCCGUUGGGAUCCUUGAGAUCUUAGUGGCGCAGCUAACGCGAUAAGUCGACCGCCUGGGGAGUACGGCCGCAAGGUUAAAACUCAAAUGAAUUGACGG
RNAcentral lists this ribosomal RNA (914 nucleotides) under uncultured bacterium. RNAcentral's name for it is "bacterial SSU rRNA". It matches the Rfam family "Bacterial small subunit ribosomal RNA", at positions 8 to 916 of the family's 1533-position model. The record is from RNAcentral.